GAUGAACGCUGGCGGCGUGCCUAAUGCAUGCAAGUCGAGCGAACGGACGAGAAGCUUGCUUCUCUGAUGUUAGCGGCGGACGGGUGAGUAACACGUGGAUAACCUACCUAUAAGACUGGGAUAACUUCGGGAAACCGGAGCUAAUACCGGAUAAUAUUUUGAACCGCAUGGUUCAAAAGUGAAAGACGGUCUUGCUGUCACUUAUAGAUGGAUCCGCGCUGCAUUAGCUAGUUGGUAAGGUAACGGCUUACCAAGGCAACGAUGCAUAGCCGACCUGAGAGGGUGAUCGGCCACACUGGAACUGAGACACGGUCCAGACUCCUACGGGAGGCAGCAGUAGGGAAUCUUCCGCAAUGGGCGAAAGCCUGACGGAGCAACGCCGCGUGAGUGAUGAAGGUCUUCGGAUCGUAAAACUCUGUUAUUAGGGAAGAACAUAUGUGUAAGUAACUGUGCACAUCUUGACGGUACCUAAUCAGAAAGCCACGGCUAACUACGUGCCAGCAGCCGCGGUAAUACGUAGGUGGCAAGCGUUAUCCGGAAUUAUUGGGCGUAAAGCGCGCGUAGCGGUUUUUUAGUCUGAUGUGAAAGCCCACGGCUCAACCGUGGAGGGUCAUUGGAAACUGGAAAACUUGAGUGCAGAAGAGGAAAGUGGAAUUCCAUGUGUAGCGGUGAAAUGCGCAGAGAUAUGGAGGAACACCAGUGGCGAAGGCGACUUUCUGGUCUGUAACUGACGCUGAUGUGCGAAAGCGUGGGGAUCAAACAGGAUUAGAUACCCUGGUAGUCCACGCCGUAAACGAUGAGUGCUAAGUGUUAGGGGGUUUCCGCCCCUUAGUGCUGCAGCUAACGCAUUAAGCACUCCGCCUGGGGAGUACGACCGCAAGGUUGAAACUCAAAGGAAUUGACGGGGACCCGCACAAGCGGUGGAGCAUGUGGUUUAAUUCGAAGCAACGCGAAGAACCUUACCAAAUCUUGACAUCCUUUGACAACUCUAGAGAUAGAGCUUUCCCCUUCGGGGGACAAAGUGACAGGUGGUGCAUGGUUGUCGUCAGCUCGUGUCGUGAGAUGUUGGGUUAAGUCCCGCAACGAGCGCAACCCUUAAGCUUAGUUGCCAUCAUUAAGUUGGGCACUCUAAGUUGACUGCCGGUGACAAACCGGAGGAAGGUGGGGAUGACGUCAAAUCAUCAUGCCCCUUAUGAUUUGGGCUACACACGUGCUACAAUGGACAAUACAAAGGGCAGCGAAACCGCGAGGUCAAGCAAAUCCCAUAAAGUUGUUCUCAGUUCGGAUUGUAGUCUGCAACUCGACUACAUGAAGCUGGAAUCGCUAGUAAUCGUAGAUCAGCAUGCUACGGUGAAUACGUUCCCCGGUCU
RNAcentral lists this ribosomal RNA (1370 nucleotides) under uncultured bacterium. RNAcentral describes it as "bacterial SSU rRNA". It matches the Rfam family "Bacterial small subunit ribosomal RNA", at positions 28 to 1381 of the family's 1533-position model. The record is from RNAcentral.